GUAUCUCUGCACCACUGAAGCAACAUUUGGAGGGUACAGACGGGCAGAUUCCGAAGUGAAGCGUUGAGCAAAGAGUGAUCUCCAAAGGACGAUAGCUUCAAGAGAAGUAGCUGGACCUAUUAGCAGCAUUGUUGAUUUCAGUGAUGUCCUUUCAAGCACAAGUACAGAAAGACUCUAGGAGAGAUCAGCAAUGAACUAUGACUGAACCAGGAUAAAACCAGACAGAACCAGGAUAGAAGAAAGGCUCUGUUCAGGAUUGACUGCACAAGACACCCAAGAUGUAGACAUGGAUAAGGUGAUGGGCCGGAGACCGAAGAAUGUGAGCAUGUACUUAAAUCACUGUAAGCAUGUAUGUAUGUUCCACUAGCAGACUUUAAGCAAGAGGGAACAUAAUCAGACCACUUCUGUGGUUUCUGUUUUAAGCAAAUACAUCUAAGUGCAUUGUU
RNAcentral lists this long non-coding RNA (446 nucleotides) under Strigops habroptila (Kakapo). RNAcentral describes it as "lncRNA (ENSSHBG00005016708.1)". Lineage: Eukaryota; Metazoa; Chordata; Aves; Psittaciformes; Psittacidae. The record is from RNAcentral.